AUCCAGCUGAUGGGUCCCAAAUAGGAAGAAACAUGCGUCAAACUGGAU
Molecule: non-coding RNA, 48 nt
Organism: Schistosoma rodhaini
Lineage: Eukaryota; Metazoa; Platyhelminthes; Trematoda; Strigeidida; Schistosomatidae
Source: Rfam